CGUGCCGUUCAACCCUUUUAGCCAUGAGUCGACUCAUGGGGUCGACUCAAAAAUAGAAACCUGAUUUUCUUACAAAAUACACUUUCAAAAAUAUUAAAAUUGCCUCCAAUAGAUUACACAUCUUUUGUUCUUGCUCUUGAGGCUUCCGAAUCAGGUCUUGAUAAAAUUAUGAUUUUGUCCCUAAAAUGCAAUAAGUCUUUUUUCAAACCAAAAUCAUUAGUAACCCCC
This 228-nucleotide long non-coding RNA is filed under the name Elaeis guineensis (African oil palm). RNAcentral describes it as "long non-coding RNA (EGUI_LNC051434)". The record is from RNAcentral. Lineage: Eukaryota; Viridiplantae; Streptophyta; Magnoliopsida; Arecales; Arecaceae.